This 397-nucleotide ribosomal RNA is filed under the name uncultured bacterium. RNAcentral's name for it is "partial 16S ribosomal RNA". It matches the Rfam family "Bacterial small subunit ribosomal RNA", at positions 523 to 918 of the family's 1533-position model. The record is from RNAcentral.
AUACGUAGGGGGCGAGCGUUGUCCGGAAUGAUUGGGCGUAAAGGGCGCGUAGGCGGCUCGGUAAGUCUGGAGUGAAAGUCCUGUUUUUAAGAUGGGAAUUGCUUUGGAUACUGUCGGGCUUGAGUGCGGGAGAGGUAAGUGGAAUUCCCAGUGUAGCGGGUAACUGCGUAGAGAUUGGGAGGAACACCAGUGGCGAAGGCGACUUACUGGACUGUAACUGACGCUGAGGCGCGAAAGUGUGGGGAGCAAACAGGAUUAGAUACCCUGGUAGUCCACACUGUAAACGAUGAAUGCUAGGUGUAGGGGGUAUCGACCCCUUCUGUGCCGCAGUCAACACAAUAAGCAUUCCGCCUGGGGAGUACGGCCGCAAGGUUGAAACUCAAAGGAAUUGACGGGG